GGCUUGCUGGUCUAGUGGUAUGAUUCUCGCUUUGGGUGGGAGAGGUCACCGGUUCGAUUCCCGUGCAAGCCC
Molecule: transfer RNA, 72 nt
Filed under: Dendronephthya gigantea
Lineage: Eukaryota; Metazoa; Cnidaria; Anthozoa; Malacalcyonacea; Nephtheidae
Description: tRNA-Pro
Rfam family: tRNA
About the family: Transfer RNA (tRNA) molecules are approximately 80 nucleotides in length. Their secondary structure includes four short double-helical elements and three loops (D, anti-codon, and T loops).
Source: RNAcentral